GCCNAAUUGGGACNCAAUUAUCUGACGCUGGAGUCUGUCGAUAAGUCNGUUGUGUGGACGCAUACAGGUAUGUAGUAUACCCCUGGUUAGUCCAACGCCUGUUAAACGGAUGUAAUGUGCCAGCCUGUUUGGUGUGUUGCUUUGCACACGCNAGGUAGCGCAGCUAACGCUUUGANCAUUCCGCCUGGUGGAUGUACUGGUCGCAAGAUUAAAACUCAAAGGAAUUGACGGGGGCCNCGCACAAGCGUUGGAGCAUGUGGUUUAAUUCGAAGCAACGCGUCAGAACCUUUACCAUCCUUUGACAUGGCUUGUUACCCAGAGAGAUCUGGGGUCCCCUUCGGGGGCAGCGCACACAGGUGCUGCAUGGCUGUCGUCAGCUCGUGUCGUGAGAUGUUGGGUUAAGUCCCGCAACGAGCGCAACCCACGUCNUUAGUNGCCAUCAUUCAGUUGGGCACUUCUAGGGAGACUGCCCGGUGAUAAGCCGUCGAGGAAGGUUGUGGAUGACGUCAAGUCCUCAUGGCCACUUACGGGAUGGGCUACACACGUGCUACAAUGGCGGUGACAGUGGGACGUCGAAGGAGCGAUCUGGACGCAAAUCCCCAAAAGCCGUCUCAGUUCGGAUUGCACUCUGCAAACUCGAGUGCAUGAAGCCCUGAUAUCAGCAUAUAAUGCUG
Molecule: ribosomal RNA, 674 nt
Filed under: Methylobacterium sp. Aw06
Lineage: Bacteria; Pseudomonadati; Pseudomonadota; Alphaproteobacteria; Hyphomicrobiales; Methylobacteriaceae
Description: bacterial SSU rRNA
Rfam family: Bacterial small subunit ribosomal RNA
Source: RNAcentral